This 462-nucleotide ribosomal RNA is filed under the name uncultured bacterium. Its description in RNAcentral is "partial 16S ribosomal RNA". It matches the Rfam family "Bacterial small subunit ribosomal RNA", at positions 28 to 507 of the family's 1533-position model. The record is from RNAcentral.
GAUAAACGCUGGCGGCGUGCUUAACACAUGCAAGUCGAACGAAGUUUUUCCUUCGGGAGAAACUUAGUGGCGGACGGGUGAGUAACGCGUGGGUAACUAGCCCUGUACAGGGGGACAACAGCUGUAAACGGCUGCUAAUACCGCAUAAGCACUUAGCACUGCAUGGUGCAUAGGGAAAAGGAGCAAUCCGGUACAGGAUGGACCCGCGUCUGUUUAGCCAGUUGGCAGGGUAACUGCCUACCAAAGCGACGAUCAGUAGCCGAUCUGAGAGGAUGUACGGCCACAUUGGGACUGAGACACGGCCCAGACUCCUACGGGAGGCAGCAGUGGGGAAUAUUGCACAAUGGAGGAAAAUCUGAUGCAGCGACGCCGCGUAAGUGAAGAAGUAUUUCGGUAUGUAAAGCUCUAUCAGCAGGGAAGAAAAUGACGGUACCUGACUAAGAAGCACCGGCUAAAUACGUG